This 497-nucleotide ribosomal RNA is filed under the name uncultured bacterium. RNAcentral's name for it is "partial 16S ribosomal RNA". It matches the Rfam family "Bacterial small subunit ribosomal RNA", at positions 28 to 507 of the family's 1533-position model. The record is from RNAcentral.
GAUGAACGCUGGCGGCGUGCCUAAUACAUGCAAGUCGAGCGAACGGAUGAGAAGCUUGCUUCUCUGAUGUUAGCGGCGGACGGGUGAGUAACACGUGGAUAACCUACCUAUAAGACUGGGAUAACUUCGGGAAACCGGAGCUAAUACCGGAUAAUAUUUUGAACCGCAUGGUUCAAAAGUGAAAGACGGUCUUGCUGUCACUUAUAGAUGGAUCCGCGCUGCAUUAGCUAGUUGGUAAGGUAACGGCUUACCAAGGCAACGAUGCAUAGCCGACCUGAGAGGGUGAUCGGCCACACUGGAACUGAGACACGGUCCAGACUCCUACGGGGGGCAGCAGUAGGGAAUCUUCCGCAAUGGGCGAAAGCCUGACGGAGCAACGCCGCGUGAGUGAUGAAGGUCUUCGGAUCGUAAAACUCUGUUAUUAGGGAAGAACAUAUGUGUAAGUAACUGUGCACAUCUUGACGGUACCUAAUCAGAAAGCCACGGCUAACUACGUG